CAGCAACCAAAAUUCCAAGACUCAGAAAAUCCCCAUGAUUUGCCUGUUACUACCUAAUGCAGCCUGGAUUGACAGCACAAUCAGCCCAAGGGAAAAUUCAGAAGACAAAUACUCCCUUCUACAAACAAGUCAGAUGACUUGUAAGUUAGAUGAAUGCAAGGCCAAGGUGGAUUUAGGGGCUGGACAAACCGUUCUCAAGCCAAGCAUCUGUGGACUGAACCCUCCAAGCGCGUUCCCCAUCACAUCGCAAGAAGCAGAAUCAUCAGUUUCAGGACCUUUCUGUACUGCAUGCAGAGCUACACUAACCUUUAGAUGAGCCACUUGCUCUCCUGAAUGGUGCUCCCAGCCCACGGCUCUGUGCUGCAAAGAAUUCAUGAAUAUCAAAACAAGUUUUGCUGUAUAUCAAAACAUGUCCAGCAGGGAAUACAGAAGCAUCAGAGACACCAAUAUGCUGCGGUUCUUCUGACAAGGUGUUUCUGAACUUGUAUAAUGCUAGUAAUGGAAGAAGUCCAAGUUCAGAAAACGAAGAAUUUCCCAGAUGAUCAAAAUCCAAGCUUAGAGAAGCCGAAGUCAUAGCCACUACUGGGCAGGACCUCUCUUGACAAGUCAUCUAUCACUGGAAUUAUUAUUGAGAAACAGAUGUUAAUAAAUGUUUUAAUGUGGAAA
Long non-coding RNA from Mastomys coucha (southern multimammate mouse), 666 nucleotides. RefSeq lists it as uncharacterized. Lineage: Eukaryota; Metazoa; Chordata; Mammalia; Rodentia; Muridae. The record is from RefSeq and is a predicted model, not a curated record. The transcript has 4 exons.